ACAGUUAUACUUUCUAUGAUGGUCAUGGAAAGUAUUAUUACAUCGACUCUCCUUGCAGGACUGUUUUCUCUUUGUCUCUGUGUGCAUCAGCGUCCAUACGUCUUUUUUGACACUCCAAAAAGCUGGACGGAGGCACAGAGCUACUGCAGAGAAAACUGCAACGACCUAGCAACCAUGACAGAUAUGAAAGACAUGGAUAUGGUUCUGGAAAUGAUUGGACAGAACUACAGUGAUGCCAUUUGGAUUGGGCUCCACAUGGGGAGCAAAAGCAGCUGGCACUGGUCUCUUGCAGACAAGAAUUUCUACAAGGAGGGAGAACAAAAUUAUUUUAAAUUGCGCUCCCCAGUAGGUGAUAUUAACUGUGUAAAUUACGAAAACGGAGAACUGGAUAUUUCGCCUUGUAUAUUUGAUAGGUAUUCAGUGUGUUUUGAUGG
This is a long non-coding RNA of Cyprinodon variegatus (sheepshead minnow), 434 nucleotides long. RefSeq lists it as uncharacterized. Lineage: Eukaryota; Metazoa; Chordata; Actinopteri; Cyprinodontiformes; Cyprinodontidae. The record is from RefSeq and is a predicted model, not a curated record. The transcript is spliced from 2 exons.